CGUGGCGACCGGCGUACGGGUGAGUAACGCGUAUGCAACCUGCCCUCUUCAGGGGGACAACCUUCCGAAAGGGAGGCUAAUCCCGCGUAUAUCGGUUUCGGGCAUCCGAGAUCGAGGAAAGAUUCAUCGGAAGAGGAUGGGCAUGCGGCGCAUUAGCUAGACGGCGGGGUAACGGCCCACCGUGGCGACGAUGCGUAGGGGUUCUGAGAGGAAGGUCCCCCACACUGGUACUGAGACACGGACCAGACUCCUACGGAAGGCAGCAG
RNAcentral lists this ribosomal RNA (266 nucleotides) under uncultured bacterium. Its description in RNAcentral is "partial 16S ribosomal RNA". It matches the Rfam family "Bacterial small subunit ribosomal RNA", at positions 87 to 354 of the family's 1533-position model. The record is from RNAcentral.